This 480-nucleotide ribosomal RNA is filed under the name bacterium enrichment culture clone DB83. Its description in RNAcentral is "bacterial SSU rRNA". It matches the Rfam family "Bacterial small subunit ribosomal RNA", at positions 56 to 534 of the family's 1533-position model. The record is from RNAcentral.
UGCAGUCGAACGGUAACAGGUCUUCGGACGCUGACGAGUGGCGAACGGGUGAGUAAUACAUCGGAACGUGCCCAGUCGUGGGGGAUAACUACUCGAAAGAGUAGUUAAUACCGCAUACGAUCUGAGGAUGAAAGCGGGGGACCUUCGGGCCUCGCGCGAUUGGAGCGGCCGAUGGCAGAUUAGGUAGUUGGUGGGAUAAAAGCUUACCAAGCCGACGAUCUGUAGCUGGUCUGAGAGGACGACCAGCCACACUGGGACUGAGACACGGCCCAGACUCCUACGGGAGGCAGCAGUGGGGAAUUUUGGACAAUGGGCGAAAGCCUGAUCCAGCAAUGCCGCGUGCAGGAUGAAGGCCUUCGGGUUGUAAACUGCUUUUGUACGGAACGAAAAAGCUUCUCCUAAUACGAGAGGCCCAUGACGGUACCGUAAGAAUAAGCACCGGCUAACUACGUGCCAGCAGCCGCGGUAAUACGUAGGGUG